RNAcentral lists this ribosomal RNA (497 nucleotides) under uncultured bacterium. RNAcentral describes it as "partial 16S ribosomal RNA". It matches the Rfam family "Bacterial small subunit ribosomal RNA", at positions 28 to 507 of the family's 1533-position model. The record is from RNAcentral.
GAUGAACGCUGGCGGCGUGCCUAAUACAUGCAAGUCGAGCGAACGGACGAGAAGCUUGCUUCUCUGAUGUUAGCGGCGGACGGGUGAGUAACACGUGGAUAACCUACCUAUAAGACUGGGAUAACUUCGGGAAACCGGAGCUAAUACCGGAUAAUAUUUUGAACCGCAUGGUUCAAAAGUGAAAGACGGUCUUGCUGUCACUUAUAGAUGGAUCCGCGCUGCAUUAGCUAGUUGGUAAGGUAACGGCUUACCAAGGCAACGAUGCAUAGCCGACCUGAGAGGGUGAUCAGCCACACUGGAACUGAGACACGGUCCAGACUCCUACGGGAGGCAGCAGUAGGGAAUAUUCCGCAAUGGGCGAAAGCCUGACGGAGCAACGCCGCGUGAGUGAAGAAGGUCUUCGGAUCGUAAAACUCUUUUAUUUGGGAAGAACAGAUGUGUAAGUAACUGUUGACAUCUUGACGGUACCUAAACAAAAAGCCACGGCUAACUACGUG